RNAcentral lists this long non-coding RNA (208 nucleotides) under Mytilus galloprovincialis (Mediterranean mussel). Lineage: Eukaryota; Metazoa; Mollusca; Bivalvia; Mytilida; Mytilidae. The record is from RNAcentral.
GUUUCUUGUGUAUAAUUCGGAGUUCAGUAUGACGUCCGGUAUUUGUUAAAUCGGGCCCUUGACAGCAAUUUCGUGUUCUUUUUUUGACGAGCUUUUUUUUUAAUUGUCUGGUUCUAUAGAUAGCACUGCGACCACCUCGUACAGAAAUGUUAGCUUCUGACUUGAGCGUCUUGUCGGUAUGUCUUGUAGUUUCAGUUUGGUGAGCGUG